AGAUUCUUGCUGUUGAAGAAGAAGAUUGGAGUGAAGAACAAUGGAGCUUGGAAUGAAAGGGAAGAAACAGUUAUGAAUUCCAAUUUAUAGUGAAGUCUGCCCCCUGAAAAGGAAGGUACGUAUUGUUAUAUAGACAAAGCUGUAAGCGAAUCUGUCAUAUCAAAAAUGGGGAAGCCUUGUUAGAGUUUGGGCAGGGUUGAAUUUAACUGAAAUUGAAGAGGAGAUUUGUCACAGUUAUCACUUUGUUAUAAUUCUAUUAUAAAGUUCUUCUUGAGCACUAACAAUUUCAGUUAAAAAUGGAAUGUUAGUUAUGAGAUUGUUAUUUUCUGUUAGAAGGUUGUGAAUAGUUGAGAUGUUAGUUGGAUGGCAGUUAGGUUAGUUGUUAUGGACUUGGAUUCGGUUAGUUACUAAACUCAUAGUUCGGUUAGGAUUGAAAGAAGCAAAGGUUGAGUUAGUUGGUACUGUAAAAUGCAAACGGUUAGUGAGUUGGUUGUGAAACUCAAAUGAGCGAAAACAAAUAUUGGUUUGAAUUCUUCCAGUAAGAUUUAGUUAUUGCUCUAUUGUAAAAAUUUGUUAGUUUACUAAUUACCCGUUCCAAUUUGUUCGACAAUCCGUGGGUGUAUUUGAUUGAGUUUCUUGCUGUUUCAAUGUUAGAUUGGUAUGCUACUGUUAGGAUGAUGUUGUUGUUUGGUGUUUGUUAUUAAUUUCAUAGCAGUUAUGCAGGUUGAUGCAGUUGGGAAUUAGGCCGCCAAGCACAUCCUGCAGCAUACUGUCAUGCUGGUGUAUUGCAGCAGCUAUUUCCUUGCUGGCUUGCGUCGAGUGCAGGAAGUUACAAGGUUAGGAAAUGUGUAUUUAGUAAAUGAUAGAUGCUAUGUACUUUCUGAUUAAUGUCAAGUACUUUUCUGCUUCCAUUAGAUGUGGGUAAUUAUGUUUUGAAAUGUUCAUGGAUGGACUGUUAUGCAUUGCUAUCAAUGAUGUUGAUGCUGGUUAUUUGGUAAAAGUCGAGUUUUUUUGCCAUUAGAAGUGAGUGAAUUUUAGUCUUUCUGCAACCCUACUGUUAUAUUACUAGUUAGAGAUGGUUGUUGCAAUUGAGAUCAAACUCUUGUUAUUUUCUUUUGGUUAUUGACAUGGUGUUAGUUAUUUAUGUGGUUAGAGAAAAUUCUGCAACUUUAGCAAUGUUAAUUAUUUGGGAAAAAUGGUUUGUUAAUGAAGUUUCGAUUUAUGAGAUUCAAUUUAAAUGCAAAUGAGUUGUGAAUGAAAUAUUGAUGAAAUUUCUGUUUGGAUUGCAGCUUAUUCAAUUGGAGAAUUUAAACUCAAAUCGGUUAGCGGUUGAGGUUUGUGAGCUGGUUCAAUUAACUUCAGUAUGCACCGUUUCUUUUGGUUCAGCUUUGUGGAUUGUUGCUCAGAAGGGA
RNAcentral lists this long non-coding RNA (1412 nucleotides) under Lathyrus oleraceus (garden pea). RNAcentral's name for it is "Pisum sativum (pea) long non-coding RNA (PSAT_LNC002096)". The record is from RNAcentral. Lineage: Eukaryota; Viridiplantae; Streptophyta; Magnoliopsida; Fabales; Fabaceae.